GACGUGAGUGGACUGUGUGCCCUCAAUGCCUCCGCCCUCUCACGGCGGGAGCAGGGGUUCGAUUCCCCUUGGCGUACC
This 78-nucleotide transfer RNA is filed under the name Mesorhizobium sp. 113-3-9. RNAcentral describes it as "tRNA-Glu". The record is from RNAcentral. Lineage: Bacteria; Pseudomonadati; Pseudomonadota; Alphaproteobacteria; Hyphomicrobiales; Phyllobacteriaceae.